Molecule: long non-coding RNA, 547 nt
Organism: Homo sapiens (human)
Lineage: Eukaryota; Metazoa; Chordata; Mammalia; Primates; Hominidae
Source: Ensembl
CAUUUGGGUCAAGAAAAGAAUAUGUAGGAGAGCUAUGUUGCUUUAACAAGAAAAUGGACAAAAAUGGAUAGUUUGCCUCAUUAAAGAACACGCAUGCUCGCAGAAGCCAUUACAAUCCCGUCGUGCAGCAGCCUGUGCUAUUGACCAGCCUAGAAGUCAUUUUUCGACUCAAGGGGAGAAGGGUGGGUUUCUGCUCUUUCCUUGCACCAUCUGAAGGACACGGCAGAAGAUAAAGGAAAAUGGCCAUGAGAUGCUCCAGCGGAGCUGGGUCCAAGGCCUGGCGCUCACCAAAGAUUGCACUACUCUCAGCAUGGUACAGGAAGACAACUGAUGGGACAAUGCAAGCUGGGACAAUCUCCAACCCAAAGGGUAUCUCAGAAAACAGCACUAGGUGAGACCACAGCACAACCCCAGUCAACCUUUAAAUCAGAAAAGGAGCUGGAGGAUGCAAUUCAUUGAUGUAUAGAAAGUUUUAAAAAGUAAAAACUGAAAUACAGAAAACAAAGUUUGCAAUGUGUAAGAAAUAAAGGACUGAAAUUUGUACCUA